RNAcentral lists this ribosomal RNA (266 nucleotides) under Niphargus sanctinaumi. Its description in RNAcentral is "partial 12S ribosomal RNA". The record is from RNAcentral. Lineage: Eukaryota; Metazoa; Arthropoda; Malacostraca; Amphipoda; Niphargidae.
UUUAAUUUCUAAGGAUUAUGGUUAAAAUUAAAAUAUUUGGCGGCUAUUUAUAUUAAAGGGAUUUGCUUAUUUAUCGAUUUGCCUCGUUUAUUAUUAUUUAGUUUAUUUUUGUAUACCGUCAUUUAGAUAAUUUUUAUAAAAUUAAUUAUGGUUAUUAUUUUCUAUAUUUUAGAUCAAGGUGCAGAUAUAAUUGAUUCAAAGUUAAUGACAAUAAUUUAUUAUUAUACAGAAUUUAUAUAAUUGAUUAUUAUAGGAGGAUUUAAUUG